Molecule: ribosomal RNA, 271 nt
Filed under: uncultured bacterium
Lineage: Bacteria
Description: partial 16S ribosomal RNA
Rfam family: Bacterial small subunit ribosomal RNA
Source: RNAcentral
UACAGAGGGUGCGAGCGUUAAUCGGAUUUACUGGGCGUAAAGGGCGCGUAGGCGGUGAUGUGAGUGUGAUGUGAAAGCCCCGGGCUUAACCUGGGAAGUGCAUCGCAAACGACAUGACUGGAGUAGAUGAGAGGGUGGCGGAAUUUCCUGUGUAGCGGUGAAAUGCGUAGAUAUAGGAAGGAACACCAGUGGCGAAGGCGACCACCUGGACUGAUACUGACACUGAGGUGCGAAAGCGUGGGGAGCAAACAGGAUUAGAAACCCUGGUAGU